RNAcentral lists this ribosomal RNA (494 nucleotides) under uncultured bacterium. Its description in RNAcentral is "bacterial SSU rRNA". It matches the Rfam family "Bacterial small subunit ribosomal RNA", at positions 30 to 523 of the family's 1533-position model. The record is from RNAcentral.
AUUGAACGCUGGCGGCAUGCCUAACACAUGCAAGUCGAACGUGAAAGCCCUUCGGGGUGAGUAAAGUGGCGGACGGGUGAGUAACGCGUAGGAAUCUGCCUUGUAGUGGGGGACAACUCGGGGAAACUCGAGCUAAUACCGCAUACGCCCUACGGGGGAAAGGGGGCUUCGGCUCCCGCUAUUAGAUGAGCCUGCGUCGGAUUAGCUUGUUGGUGAGGUAAUGGCUCACCAAGGCGACGAUCCGUAGCUGGUCUGAGAGGACGAUCAGCCACACUGGGACUGAGACACGGCCCAGACUCCUACGGGGAGGCAGCAGUGGGGGGAAUAUUGGACAAUGGGCGAAAGCCUGAUCCAGCAAUGCCGCGUGUGUGAAGAAGGCCUGCGGGUUGUAAAGCACUUUCAGUAGGGAAGAAAGGCACGGUGUUAAUACCACCGGGCUCUGACGUUACCUACAGAAGAAGCACCGGCUAACUCCGUGCCAGCAGCCGCGGUAA